This 478-nucleotide ribosomal RNA is filed under the name uncultured bacterium. Its description in RNAcentral is "partial 16S ribosomal RNA". It matches the Rfam family "Bacterial small subunit ribosomal RNA", at positions 28 to 507 of the family's 1533-position model. The record is from RNAcentral.
GAUGAACGCUGGCGGCGUGCCUAACACAUGCAAGUCGAACGGGAAACCUUUUAUUGCAGCUUCGGCAGAUUUAGCCGGGUCCUAGUGGCGGACGGGUGAGUAACGCGUGGGUAACCUGGCUUAUACAGGGGGAUAACAGUCAGAAAUGGCUGCAAAUACCGCAUAAGCGCACACAGCUGCAUGGCUCAGUGUGAAAAACUCCGGUGGUAUAAGAUGGACCCGCGUUGGAUUAGCUGGUUGGGGGGGUAACGGCCCACCAAGGCGACGAUCCACAGCCGGGCAGAGAGAGAGGGCCGCCACAUUUGGACGAGGAAGCGGCCGGGACUCCUACGGGAGGCAGGAGUGGGGGAUAUUGCACAAUGGGGGGAGCCCUGAUGCAGCGACGCCGCGUGAAGGAAGAAGUAUCUAGAGAUGUAAACUUCUAUCAGCAGGGAAGAUAAUGACGGUACCUAACUAAGAAGCCCCGGCUAACUACGUG